This is an RNA transcript of Hemicordylus capensis (graceful crag lizard), 2436 nucleotides long. It is a transcript of the gene named mas-related G-protein coupled receptor member H-like, with no coding region annotated. The record is from RefSeq and is a predicted model, not a curated record. The transcript is spliced from 2 exons. Lineage: Eukaryota; Metazoa; Chordata; Lepidosauria; Squamata; Cordylidae.
GCGAUUAGCGCGUUGCACCGCGGCGGCUCAGCUUGCAGACGGUGCCCCCUGGCUGGCUUCGCCCACCAGCCGCGUCCCUGGCUCGCGCCUGCUUUGCUCCGGCAAGCCUGGAUGAUGGUUUUCCGCCCAGCAGCAGCUUGAAGGUGGGAGGAGACUCUGCCCGCCAGCCAGGGCCGCGCCAAGAGCUCCCGGAAAUGGAGGGCGUGGGUCUGGCGGGGCAGAGCUGCCGCUGUGCCGAGGCCUGAGAGGAAGAAGCCCGCCCAGGGAGAGACACGCGCGGACGGAGCGGCUGCCGAGGCGGGCAGCGGCCGGGUGCCCUCCUCAAGGAGCAGUAGCCAAGGCAAGGGCUUUGUCGCGAAUCUUCGGCGGAUCGUAGCCAGCAUCGUCCCCUGACUUCUUGGCAUCCAGUCUUGGAAGGACCUCGCUAAGGAGCAAGCAGGGAAGGGCUGCCCGCAAAGGGAGAACAGCGAUCUCCUGGGAGUCUUCGCCUCCGCCCUCUCUAAAGACGACCGAAGUCUUCCAAAGCUGCCUCUACAGACAGAAAUGACAGAAGUGGUUUCCAGCACCGACGUCCUGCAUGGUGUUCCUGUGCUUCUGGGAAGGAAGAGGAUUAUUAGCCCCCAUUAACUGAGCCAUCUCCUAUUAGAGGAAAGGAUCAUGUAUCUGGGCUGUUUUUCUCCCCCACACAACCUGAAUGAGACAUGAAACACAAAUUAAAGAAGAAAGCUAAAGCAUAGGUUGCAAUAAGGGCCACGCCUAUACUGAUUGGCUUAAAGCAGGCCUGCACAACAUAAGGCGGGGGGGGCGGCGAUUUGGCCCACAAGGACUAUUUUACUGGCCCCCAGGUAUCCUGCAGCAACACAGCAGCUGGAAACUGCCUUAUAGCGCCAUCCUGUGCAUGCUUUCUUAGAAAUAUACUCCAUGGUGUGGCCAGUGAGGCUUACUCCCAUGUAAGCUUGCCUAGCAUUGCAGCCUGAAAGCAACAGCAAUUUAGGAAGAGGAGAGGACUUGGUUUGUUUGGGGCUAGCAUGCACUCUAGGGGCCACACGGAUUGAGCAGAGACAGGACCUAUUCUCUGGCCACGAUCCUUGGUUGAAACUCUGGGUCCAUUGACAGGGGGAAUAGAUCCACAAAUGACUAAUAAUAUUUAAUUUUAAUAAUGGGCUAAAAAAUUGACCGUGGCCCCUGCAUGCCAAGUUGUGGAUGGUUCCGGCCCGCCAGGGCAUUUGAGUUGUGCAGCCUGGCUUAAAGUGUCUGCUGCAGAAACAUAGCUCAACUCUUCAGUGAAAGUGAGGAUCUGACAUCACCUGCCAUCCGCCUUAUUCAGGUGAUUCCAUCUUGGCACCAAGCUUCAGACCAGUCUUGAAAUUAAUCCAUGCUCCUCAUUGGCGGCCAGAGUAAAAAUAUUCCAAGGAUGCUGCUGGUGGGGAAUGCUAUUGGUCCCAGUGUUCCCUGUAACAGGGAUUCCCAGAUGUGGACUACAACUCCCAUAAUCCCCAGCCAAAGGCCACUUCAGCUGAGGAUGCCAGGAGUUGUAGUCAACAUCAUCUGGGAAUUCCUGUUACAGGGAACACUGAUUGGUCCUCAAGCCAGAAAUGGACAGCGCUCCCAGCAACAUUUUGACAAUCAUCUGGUGGCGACAGUGAGUGAAAUAAAACUUUUCCCCACUCCCCCUCCCCACCUGCUCGGUCGUGUGAAUGACCUCAACCAGUUAGGGAAAGGAGUCCCAAAUUCCUACUGAGCCAUCAAGGCAACCAGCUAAUCCUACACACCCAGAAUUUGGGUCCGUGGGUGGGUGAGCUGUUGGGUUCACACUAAGGUUGUGGGGAAGGCAUGAGCCUGACAAAUAUGCAUUCACUCAGAGCUCCCCCCAUUGCAUUGUGUGCAUUAUAUGGCCACCCCCAAUUUAUGGCGUGGCCAUGCAAAUAAAAUUAUUUGUAUUAUUAGCCCCACUCUGCAGGACUAUGUUGCAUUCUCUCAAAGGGGAUGGAGGUACGGUUAUCCUCCCCACAAUACAGUGCGGGGCGGAGUACUGUUAGAGCUGGUUUGCUUGUUCCUUCACUUUCUAAUUUAUCAAGGCUCAUUUAAAACUAGCAUUUAACAAGGAUUCGCUUUAGUUUUCCUAGAACUAAAGACGUAACACAAAAUCAAGAUUAGUGAAGGGUCUCUAGUUAACUGAGUUUUUUACUUUAUUCUUGAACAUAUAUAAAACCUGUUGGUGUUGCGUUGUAACAUAAUCGCCCAUUCUAUCAAGCCGUCCUUCAGUGGUUGGAGUCUCCAUUUGACUGUAGAAUUUAUCUUUAACGUUUAUGCCUCACCUUGCUUUCAAAUGAAACCCAUGGCCGUUUGCAUCAAGAUGAAGAACCUGUUGAACAUAAUUUUUUAAAAAUACAAACCAAUAAAAAGUACCACAUAAAAAAGGAAGACAAGAGCAGA